UACGUAGGGCGCGAGCGUUGUCCGGAAUUACUGGGCGUAAAGAGCUCGUAGGUGGUUUGUCGCGUUGUCCGUGAAAACUCACAGCUCAACUGUGGGCGUGCGGGCGAUACGGGCAGACUGGAGUACUGCAGGGGAGACUGGAAUUCCUGGUGUAGCGGUGGAAUGCGCAGAUAUCAGGAGGAACACCGGUGGCGAAGGCGGGUCUCUGGGCAGUAACUGACGCUGAGGAGCGAAAGCGUGGGGAGCGAACAGG
RNAcentral lists this ribosomal RNA (253 nucleotides) under uncultured bacterium. RNAcentral describes it as "partial 16S ribosomal RNA". It matches the Rfam family "Bacterial small subunit ribosomal RNA", at positions 524 to 776 of the family's 1533-position model. The record is from RNAcentral.